This 488-nucleotide ribosomal RNA is filed under the name uncultured bacterium. RNAcentral's name for it is "bacterial SSU rRNA". It matches the Rfam family "Bacterial small subunit ribosomal RNA", at positions 28 to 517 of the family's 1533-position model. The record is from RNAcentral.
GAUGAACGCUAGCGGCAGGCUUAACACAUGCAAGUCGAGGGGUAUAGUUCUUCGGAAUUAGAGACCGGCGCACGGGUGCGUAACGCGUAUGCAAUCUACCUUUCACAGAGGGAUAGCCCAGAGAAAUUUGGAUUAAUACCUCAUAGUAUAGCAGUUUCGCAUGAAACCACUAUUAAAGUCACAACGGUGAAAGAUGAGCAUGCGUCCCAUUAGCUAGUUGGUAAGGUAACGGCUUACCAAGGCAACGAUGGGUAGGGGUCCUGAGAGGGAGAUCCCCCACACUGGUACUGAGACACGGACCAGACUCCUACGGGAGGCAGCAGUGAGGAAUAUUGGACAAUGGGCGCAAGCCUGAUCCAGCCAUGCCGCGUGCAGGAUGACGGUCCUAUGGAUUGUAAACUGCUUUUAUACAGGAAGAAACACUACUUCGUGAAGUAGCUUGACGGUACUGUAAGAAUAAGGAUCGGCUAACUCCGUGCCAGCAGCCG